CCUACGGGAGGCAGCAGUGAGGAAUAUUGAGCAAUGGGCGCAAGCCUGACUCAGCAACGCCGCGUGGAUGAUGAAGGCCUUCGGGUUGUAAAAUCCUUUUCUGGGGGAAGAUAAUGACGGUACCCCAGGAAUAAGUUCCGGCUAACUACGUGCCAGCAGCCGCGGUAAAACGUAGGGGACAAGCGUUAUCCGGAUUUACUGGGCGUAAAGCGCAUGUAGGUGGCUUAUCAAGUUGGACGUGAAAGCUCCCGGCUUAACUGGGAGAGGUCGUACAAAACUGAUAAGCUAGAGGAUGGAAGAGGAGAGCGGAAUUCCCGGUGUAGUGGUGGAAUGCGUAGAUAUCGGGAGGAACACCAGUGGCGAAAGCGGCUCUCUGGUUCAUAACUGACACUGAGAUGCGAAAGCGUGGGGAGCGAACGGGAUUAGAUACCCCAGUAGUC
RNAcentral lists this ribosomal RNA (440 nucleotides) under uncultured bacterium. Its description in RNAcentral is "bacterial SSU rRNA". It matches the Rfam family "Bacterial small subunit ribosomal RNA", at positions 338 to 795 of the family's 1533-position model. The record is from RNAcentral.